Molecule: ribosomal RNA, 445 nt
Filed under: uncultured bacterium
Lineage: Bacteria
Description: partial 16S ribosomal RNA
Rfam family: Bacterial small subunit ribosomal RNA
Source: RNAcentral
CCAGACUCCUACGGGAGGCAGCAGUGGGGAAUAUUGCACAAUGGGGGAAACCCUGAUGCAGCGACGCCGCGUGUGGGAAGACAGUCCUCUGGAUUGUAAACCACUGUCCCCAGGGACGAAGAUGACGGUACCUGGGGAGGAAGCUCCGGCUAACUACGUGCCAGCAGCCGCGGUAAUACGUAGGGGGCGAGCGUUAUCCGGAUUUACUGGGUGUAAAGGGAGCGUAGACGGUUAAUCAAGUCUGAAGUGAAAGCCCGCGGCUCAACUGCGGAACGGCUUUGGAAACUGAGUAACUGGAGUGCUGGAGGGGCAGGCGGAAUUCCUGGUGUAGCGGUGAAAUGCGUAGAUAUCAGGAGGAACACCGGUGGCGAAGGCGGCCUGCUGGACAGUAACUGACGUUGAGGCUCGAAAGCGUGGGGAGCAAACAGGAUUAGAUACCCCUGUA